AGAGUUUGAUCAUGGCUCAGAGCGAACGCUGGCGGCAGGCUUAACACAUGCAAGUCGAACGCACCGCAAGGUGAGUGGCAGACGGGUGAGUAACACGUGGGAACGUACCCUUCGGUUCGGAAUAACUCAGGGAAACUUGAGCUAAUACCGGAUACGCCCUUCGGGGGAAAGGUUUACUGCCGAAGGAUCGGCCCGCGUCUGAUUAGCUAGUUGGUGAGGUAAUGGCUCACCAAGGCGACGAUCAGUAGCUGGUCUGAGAGGAUGAUCAGCCACACUGGGACUGAGACACGGCCCAGACUCCUACGGGAGGCAGCAGUGGGGAAUAUUGGACAAUGGGCGAAAGCCUGAUCCAGCCAUGCCGCGUGAGUGAUGAAGGCCUUAGGGUUGUAAAGCUCUUUCGACGGGGACGAUAAUGACGGUACCCGUAGAAGAAGCCCCGGCUAACUUCGUGCCAGCAGCCGCGGUAAUACGAAGGGGGCUAGCGUUGCUCGGAAUCACUGGGCGUAAAGGGCGCGUAGGCGGCCAUUCAAGUCGGGGGUGAAAGCCUGUGGCUCAACCACAGAAUUGCCUUCGAUACUGUUUGGCUUGAGACCGGAAGAGGUAAGUGGAACUGCGAGUGUAGAGGUGAAAUUCGUAGAUAUUCGCAAGAACACCAGUGGCGAAGGCGGCUUACUGGUCCGGUUCUGACGCUGAGGCGCGAAAGCGUGGGGAGCAAACAGGAUUAGAUACCCCUGUAGUCC
This 740-nucleotide ribosomal RNA is filed under the name uncultured bacterium. RNAcentral describes it as "bacterial SSU rRNA". It matches the Rfam family "Bacterial small subunit ribosomal RNA", at positions 8 to 796 of the family's 1533-position model. The record is from RNAcentral.